This 253-nucleotide ribosomal RNA is filed under the name uncultured bacterium. RNAcentral describes it as "partial 16S ribosomal RNA". It matches the Rfam family "Bacterial small subunit ribosomal RNA", at positions 524 to 776 of the family's 1533-position model. The record is from RNAcentral.
UACGAAGGGAGCUAGCGUUGUUCGGAAUCACUGGGCGUAAAGCGCACGUAGGCGGAUGUGUCAGUCAGGGGUGAAAUCCCGGAGCUCAACUUCGGAACUGCCCUUGAUACAGCACGUCUUGAGUCCGGAAGAGGUGGGUGGAAUUCCUAGUGUAGAGGUGAAAUUCGUAGAUAUUAGGAAGAACACCGGUGGCGAAGGCGGCACACUGGUCCGGUACUGACGCUGAGGUGCGAAAGCGUGGGGAGCAAACAGG